RNAcentral lists this ribosomal RNA (373 nucleotides) under uncultured alga. RNAcentral's name for it is "bacterial LSU rRNA". It matches the Rfam family "Bacterial large subunit ribosomal RNA", at positions 2100 to 2461 of the family's 2925-position model. The record is from RNAcentral.
GCUUUACUGUAGCCUGGAAUUGGGUUCGGGCUUCGCUUGCGCAGGAUAGGUGGGAGGCUUUGAAGCUGCCCUUGUGGGGGGUAGUGGAGCCAAUGGUGAGAUACCACUCUGGCGAGGCUAGAAUUCUAACCUUAUAACCGUAAUCCGGUUAAAGGAACCGUUUCAGGUGGGCAGUUUGACUGGGGCGGUCGCCUCCUAAAAGGUAACGGAGGCGCGCAAAGGUUCUCUCAGGCUGGUUGGAAAUCAGCCAUAGAGUGUAAAAGGCAUAAGAGAGCUUGACUGUGAGACCUACAAGUCGAACAGGGACGAAAGUCGGUCUUAGUGAUCCGACGGCAGAGCGUGGAAUCGCCGUCGCUAAACGGAUAAAAAGUUA